UCAUCAACGUAAUAUGUCUCUGCUCUUUCCCUCUUUACUAGUUCUAACUCAACUUAUCAAUGCAUGUCUCUGCUCACCGACGAUAGGGGCAUAACUUUUGUGCAACUCUUGCUAUUAUUGUAUUCCAUGAUCUGAGACUGCAUCUCUCAGGUUCUCGGUCCAUAAUCAUCAUUUUGUAAUUCGAUAUUUCACGGCAUUCAAUAUCAAUGGCGGGAUCGCGGGAAGAUAUGGAGGGGUUCUAUUUAACCUGCGAAAUCCGCCCAUAUUUUCCCAUCCGGCUAGCAGAGGCAGGAGCUACGGGGGAAGCAGGAGCAUCGGGAGUAGAGGCGGGGACGGCAAUAGAGCAAGCGGCAAUUGAUCUUGAAGCCAUAGCCCAAGCUGGGUCGAAUCCAUUUUUCGAGGGGUUCCACAUUUGCAUGCGAAAAACAAAUAGUUUGUACCUAAUUGAAUGCUUUGGCUACUGCUGCUAAAGUGUAGACACUGUUGGAAGGGCCCUCCUUGCAGAUUCAUUCGCAUCAGGAAAUCCUGACCUCACAAUGCAGUAGUUUAGCUUCACAUGGCUAGGACAAUGCAACUGUGAAUGUUCAAAGCUUUAGGUCUUCUGAAACCCUAGCCACACAGUACACUAUAAAGGUAAAGUGGUCCCUUUUGAACUUCCUGAUGAUUUGAUUGAAGUUAUUUCUGAAUGUAAUGUUAAAACUAUUAUCCUGUUCUUUCUCAAAGGAGUCCCUGGAUUAUUUUAAAUGGACCCAUAAUAACUGGGAAUGGAUUAUAGAGACUGUUUGGGGAUUUGGAAGAGAUAAAACAAACAAUUUGUACUUGAUGGAAUGCUUUGGCUGCUACUGCUAACGUGGAGGCACUGUUGGCAGGACCCUCCUUGCAGAUUCAGAUCACUUUACCUUCUUGCGUCUCAAUGGUUGACAUGGUUGAUUCUAGAGCUGCCGAAGUGGAGGCAUCUUGGGUUUUGACAUUUCGAUUUGUUGGGGGCAAGGCCGGUUGGGAAGACUCAUGAGGUCCUUUUAGAUGCAUAGAUUCCACGUUUUCAAAGCCGAUCAUUGGAAUGGGCAUUGGAUUUGAUGUGGUCCCUCUUGGCGUUGUCAAUUUCUGGUUUGCCUUGAUACCUAGCCUUUUUUUUCAUUCUUUUUGGCUUAAUCUUCAAUGAAGUGUCGCCUCCAGGGCAAUCAAUCUAGGCAAAGAAGGAAUCCUGAGUGCCUUCUCUGAUUUCAUCAGGUCAAGCAAAUGAUAUCACUUUACCUUCUCACAUCUUAAUGGUUGACAUGGUUGAUUCUGGAGCUGAAUAAGUAGAGGUAUAUUGGGUUUUGACAUUUUGAUUUGUUGGGGCCAGGGUCGGUUGGGAAGACUCGUGAGGUCCUUUUAGAUGCAUAUAUUCCACAUUUUCAAAACCAAUCAUUAGAAGGGCAUUGGAUUUGAUGUGGUCCAUCUUUGUUGUCCGUUUCUGGUUUGCCUCGAUCCCUAGCAUUUUUUUUCAUGCUUUUUGGCUUAAUCUUCAGGUGCGUUGCUUAUGAUUCCACAUUUGCAUGCGCGUCUGCCAGAGCAUUUCCAACUUUAAUAGCUGGCAAAAACCCAUUUUUUGGAACUCUCGCUAUCAUCGUAUUCCAUGAGACUGCAUCUCUAUGAGGUUUUUUUAUCAAACAAUUUAAGUGCAUUGUCUAUGAUUCCAUUAUUUCACAUGUAUGUCUGGUGGGCAGUUGGAACUUACAACAUAUGAUAAAGAUUAUUCAUUCAAUGAGAGACAGACCAAAUGCAGUUAGCUUUUCAUCCUAAUGAUAGAUAGAUAAUUCUAUUUCCUCCUCUUGUGUGCACCAAGACAAUGGCUAGGGUUGUUCAAUCUGGCUUUACGCCUGUCAAAUGCAUUUUCUUGACAGUUUCUAAAGCCUUUCCAACAAAUUCAUUUGUGCACCUUCUACAACCAUUUCAUUCGUCAAGAUGACAUCUCUUCCAGGCAUUCUGUUAAACAAUCCACGUGCUAUCUUUGUAGAUACAUACUAGGUAAUCUUCUUGCAAGAACCUAGAAUGGUGUUUCAUGUUUUCUGCAGCUUUGAUGUUUCUUUAUUCUCAAGACUCCUGACUCGGGUAAAAUUUUCCCUUGCAAACACUCAAUUUUGCAGUGUUCCAGGUUAAAGGGUUUUCUCUAUUGCUACUGAGGGAAGAAGAGCUGUAGAAAAUGAGCUAAUUGGUGCUACUAGCUGGAGGACAGCUUGAAAUGAUUGUCAAUCACCUAGCUUCGGUGACAAAACUGAGCUUAAGAUGGCAAGGGCAAUAUGACGUGAAUCGUGAUCAAGAAAACGGAUAUCACCAAAGGCAGAGGACGCCAAAUCUACAUUCAUAGCUUUGUAAAGAAACAAACCAACAAUGUUUAGAAUAUUCCUGCAAAAGAAAACAAGUUGGGAAUUCCUUUACCCUACAAGGUCUUUGAUCUGUUGCCUGUAAUUUGUAUUGGGUGUCGGUAUUAAUCCAUGGGCAUUAGAAACCAUCGUGAAUCCCCAUCCAAACUCUACCAAUGCAAAAGACACAAUGAAAACACAAGGGAACACCACUAAAGAGUCAUCCACAUGCCAGUUGAAGCAGGGUAGAGAAGUCAUGCAAACUAGAUGAUGGUCUCUUUUUGUAAAAAUAUAUUUGUCAUAAUGUAAAAUGCACGAGUUAAGAACUUAGAAGUGAGCUUAUAGUUAUUCUUUCUUACAUCUAACAUAUUGUUUGUAGUGGUGUGAAUGUCUAUACAACACUUGCUUCAGCAAGUGGUGCUUUCUAUGGCCCUCUACAUGGAGGGGUGAAUGAGGUAUAGCUGGGUUAUCUUGGACUUGACGUAGUAUUGUGUUAAUCUUUGGAAUCUUGGAUAACCCUUCUACCAUUGAUUUUAUUCUUUCAGAACACGUCUUGAACCUCCAUGGAAGAUGUAUAUCCAUCCUUAUUCAUGUCAUACACUCCGAUGCAUCAUGAAGCAGUUGAUCCUCAUCAUGGCUUUGAUUCAUUAGGUAAUUAUACAACCAUGUACAUUCAUUAAAUAUAAAGAAAGAAUCUUGGCUUUUAGAAAGAGGCGUCACAAAGGAUUUAAGUCUAGUUCUGAUACAGAUUCCACCAGACUAUUUAAAAAGCAAUGUAUUUUGUGUAAUGUUACCUUGCCCUCUCUGUUUUCCGCAAGGAUACCAUACAUUAUACACAUUUCAUCAGGCUGUAGUGAAAGUACUUACUCAUCUCUGUAAACUGCCAUGUAAUUGCAGAAGUCUGUCAUAUUAAAUUUUCUUGAUAUUCUUUGUCAAGCUCAACCAUUCCACUGAGCUGGUGUAUAGAUUCAUUAGUGAUAACGCUUCUUGUAUAUGCAUUCUCUUCGGAUGGAGUUCCAACAGAACCAGAUCCACUAUUUACACAGCGAUUUGCAUCCGUCCUUAGUUUGUCUUCUUGAAAUCCAAGAAUGUUUUGAUGGAAAAUACUCUUGAACGUAUCAGUCUUUUUCAUAUAGUUCUUAUUGGCAUUCACUUGUCCUUUCAAGUCCCGAAGCACGUCCGUUGUCUGAUUUAUUAGUAAAGACAACUCAUCAUUUUUUUGUUUUCCAGUGGAAAUCAUGGCCAUAACACCAAUCCCUACUCCAUAACUUAGCCUUAAAUCACCUGCAAGUAGAACAAAACCAAAAUAGAAGUUUUAAUAAACUAAAUAGAGAUUAUACCAUUUAUCUCCCAAAAAAAGAAAUGAUGUUUAAUCAUCAAAGCUGUGAUCUAUAAUGAUAGAGCAUUUUAUUUUGCAUUUGUGCUUUUAUAAUGCACGGGGCUUAGAUAAACAACACACAAAUGUAGCAAAUAGAAACACAACAUUCAACCAUUGAAUGAGCAUCAACAAAUAUUCAACCAUCCUAUUCACAUCUAAUUUGAUUUGUGCCCAUUUUAAAUAUAUCAAAACAUUUAGCACUCGGAAAUCCUAAAUACCAGACUGUUUUAUUGUGGGAAAAAUUGAGUAGAAUAAAGUUAAAUGAGCAUGAAAAUCACAGUUUACAACCUUUAAAAGUGAAAAAUGCAAGUUAUUCAAAAAUUUCAAUAAAAAUAACAGUCAACAUUGUUUUCUGAAAAUAUUAUAAUUUUUCAUGACAUAUUCGUCUCCACAUAGACAUCUAAUAUUUUAUAAGAGAUUGCAAUGUUUUUGAAAUAUUUAUGUCCAUUAGUUGCUCCAACUAAUGGAAACAUAAAUAUAAUGAGAAGUUAGAUCUUUAUUUCUAACUUGCUUUUAGUUUUUCAUUUCUAAAAUAAUUUUCAACAUAGAUCUAGAUUACUUUUACCAUAGAUUAGUGUCUAGAUAAAAUAAGCCUUUGAUAAUUAAGCAGCAGUUGUUACACAUUUGCAAAGGCUAAUCUUGGGACUACAAGUGUAAUCACAAUGCACAGGAAAUAAUUCCAAAGUUUUUUCCACUUUUUCCUCUGCAGUAAACCUCCUUUAUCAGUAAUUCAUUUCUUGAGAUCACCGUAGAAUAAGAUUUUGAUUGCUACAAAAUAACAGUUGUUACACAUUCAAAAAGACUAAUCUUGAAACUACAAAUAAUAUUAUUGUUCUCCUUUCCUAAAACCGAACAUAGAGGGAAAAGAAAACGAUGAGUAAUGUUUAUUUGUUGGACACAGACUAGAAAGCCAAGAUGGGAUCUUGCGCUAAUGAAUCCCCCAUUAAUAAAAUACCCAAUAAGCUUCAAAAGAUAUAAAAUGCUGAAAUUGGUUGGAAGGAAAAUACGCGUGUAAGAUUUGAUGAUAGCAGUAAGUGGAAUUCUUCAUAGCUUCCCCAGUGUGGCGAGGCAACCAUGUUCUCCAGGAAGAUCUGUGUGUGCUAUCUAUUAAAGUCUUUUUUUAACACUCUCACUUUGAUACCAUGCCAUUGAUGGAACCCCAAAAUCAUUUGAACCAUUGGACGCAUCAAAAUAUGUGUCCCAGUUACCAUGUGUUUCUUGAGCAAACAAUUUAAUUGUACUAAAUUUGUCAGGUCAUUCAACUCAAAAAAACAUCCUGCAGCAUAUACAUAUCCAUAAGGCCAUUCCACAAAAAAUGGAAUGUUCUAGAAAAUCUUCAUACCCUUUACGUUCCUUUUCACAUAAAGGCUUUGUAGAAGAAUUCAUCCAUAUAUCUUCAUCUUAAAACUACAUUUUUGUAUAUGGUUAAAGACCUUCAGCAAAAUUGAAGGUUAUUCUAAUAUUUAUUGGUUAAAGGGUAUAUUUUAUUUCUCUUUAUUGGGGAAAACCAAUUUAAUUGAACUGCUCUACUUUUCUCAUAUUGUUUCCCUUUUUACGAAUUUUUCAGAUCUGAUAUUUUGAUUUUCUAAUUUUUCUAUAUCAGAUCUGAACAUUCUUAUGUUUUGAUUCCCUUAUCUCUUCUGAUCUUUGAUUUGUGUGCCCUAAUCACAAAGAAUCUAUCACCUUCCAUUUAAGAGGAGGCCCAGGUUAAACACAACAAUGGCCUUGAACCGAACUGAUGCACCUCUUAUUUUGAAAAUUUCAACACUAUAGUCUAUCUUAAUGAUGAGGUUCCCAUAUUGCGACCAUAGAUAAGAGGGGUAUUGCUCAUACUAUGCAAAUUCUCACAAUGAUAAUAAUACUAAUCCUUCUGAUCUAGUUGAUCUAGCUUAUACCCAUGACGAAAUCAUCUUUCCCUUUAAAACUUAAUCUUCACAUAAAAAAAUUCCAGUAUGUAAUUCCAGUGGUAUCUAACUGUCUUUUAGGACUGUUGUUGACUGAUCUACAAGACUUUUAAGGUUUGUAGUAAUAAAGAUCUCUAUGACUAACAGUGGCUCUCAUGUGUUGCUAACCAUAAUCUCACUCAAUGGUAGCUGAGACAAACCAUAUUCACUGUCUUUUAAUGCCUUCUAAGCUACUAUUAUAAGGUGCUCUUUCUACACUGUUUGUAGGCUGCUCUAUGAGUGGAUUAUGACUGCAUUUCUUAUUUAAGACACUGUGAUCUUAUGACAAUGAGUAUAUUACUACACAGGGGGCUGUGACUAAUCUAUCCCCUUACUCAGAGCUACCCUUAGGAGUGAUUUGAUGACCAUGUUACCUGCGUAGAUAACUGCUAUCAUACAUGUUACCUUAAGACUAAUUAAUUAAUUUGUUCAACAUUUCCCUAUACCACUUUCUGUCUUUUCAAAUACACAGUAAAGCAAAGGUUACUAGAUCAAAUAACGUGUUGGAUUUUUCUCCUUUUCUAUUCUAUGUUGGUACAUGACAUUGUAGAUAAUAGUAAUAGGACGGUCAUUUACUCAAUGUCAAUUUUUCCCUGACCUGAUCACUUCCCUGUGCAGGACUGUGACUGCUUUUACUGUACUUUGUGGCCUUAAUGACUUAUAUGGACUGUAUAUUACCCUUCAGGCUUACACUCUGUUGCAACAAGAUUAUUAAUGGAAUGAAGGUGCUGUCUCUGAGAACUACUGUGUAUUGGCUUAUUAAAACCCCCAAUCUGAAGCUCAACUGAGACAUUUUACUUUUGACUCUUUGUUUGAAUGCAAACUUGAGAUUCUUCUAUGCUUGUACUUAUGAAAAAUAAAUGAUUUUGGCCUCCUAAAGACUCCAAGUCACUUUGGCUUGAAGCUACAAAAUUCAUCUUUUGAGCUUUAGAGCUUCGUUUCUAGCUCUUUAUGUCUUUCUCUCAAAAGGUCAUGAGCCUCCCUUAUGACUGUUCUAAGCUUGUUCAUCUCACUGCAUGAUAACUUGAUUAUUGACGUUGUUCUUCCUUCAUUCUUGGUUGGGACUGCUCUUGUUCUUCAUGAGGAUUUGGAUUAUGCUUUAUGUCUAUCCACAUGACUAAUCCGAGUCUCAUGUCUCAACCAAAAGAUUAUUCUAUGUUUGAGGAUACUGUGACAGUGAUUUUUCUCUUAACUGCUUUCUAUGCAUAAUAGUUCAACACUAUGUAUUCACUACCAAUGAUUUCCAUCUUUCUCAGCAUUCAAUGUCUCUUUAUGACUGGUUUUUUGUUCUCAAUACACUGCUCAUUGUAUUCUUGUAGUCUCUGUCUUCGCACUGUAAAAAACAACCCAACACUCAUGACUAUAUAUUUUGAUGGAAGAUGUUGUUCUCUGUUUUUAUUGAUUGUCUUUAGCUCUGAGAUAACUUAGACCUAUGCAUUGAUCUGUGGCUUUGUAUAGUUGACUGUGAAUGUGGCCUUUUCUCUUCAUAUCACUAUCUUAUUUCAAUCAUUGUCCUAGAGUUCUAGUUGCUACUCAAGAGGGUUCAUUCAUAAGUAUUCUCAUUGCACUCAUCAUGCUCUAUUAGGACUGCCUUAAUGUCUAUUAUUUGAUCUCGGGGUUGCUCUGUCAUGCUCUCAUGUUCUCGUUGUCCUUGGAGUAUGCCCUUGAUGUCUUUUCAUGACUUUAAUCUCUGAUCGGAAACAGUGACUGUGUAUUUAUUCACAGACUUGCUACAACUUGGUACCAUGCACAUAGCUCUCCCUAUUUUCAUGGGCCUAGAACUCUCAAUUCAUAGCAACCAUUAUCACUGGUAAAACUCUUUGACUGUUCUUGACUUCAAAUUUAUCCUGAGAACCCUGCUUCCUGCACUGUUGCACUGUCCUUUAUGACUCUGUGUCUGUGAAUAGGAUUCCAUGAAAACCCCCCUUUGUGUCUAAAAACUUGAAUAAGAAACUCUAUUCAAUCGAGAACAGGAUCUCUACAUUCUUUCACUGAAUGCCAUUGACCGUACACUGAUUGUCAUUUCCCUAUGGUCAAUGGCAUUCACUACUAUAACUUCAUAUGAGGAUAUUGUUUGCUUGAGGAGGGCAAUUGUUAUGCUCGGAAUAAUACCCUAGGCUUGGAGAGUAGAGUCUUACAACAAUACGGCGAUAAGAAACACUAGCAUUCUAAUAUCUUCUUUUUUCUAUCUUAUAUGAUCUAGGUUUAAUACUCAGACUGAGCAUCUCUUUUGAGCAAUUUAAAGAAAAAAUAAGAAAUUUAUGCAUGUAUAGUGACUUUUGCUUUAAUGAAUGUGGUAAAGGAGUUGAGAUGCAUGACUUGUGAAGGGAACUGCAUCAAGCUUAAAAUAGUUCUAUACAUGGCUUAAUCUUCUUGAUCUUUAUGAAUCACAACAACUUCUCCUCCUUUUGGAGUCCAUCACACGUAGAAUGCCCUGAAGUAUCUCAUUAGCUGAUCAAAAUCCGCUUUGAACUACUCCUCAACUAUUUCUUCCACACAUGCAGCAUAUCAAGUUACACUUACUAUGUGGCUAUAAGGGGAAGCUUUCUCAAAUCUGCUCAUUAGCUACAACUUCCACCAUAGUUUGAUGUGACAAAUUAAGCAGAGUUUAGGGCUUCAUCUUCUUACUAUGAGAAGUCUAUCACACAUAGAAUUAAUUCAAGGUUGCCUCAAAACUCAUGAUGAUAGCUCACUUUUUACUUCAAGGGCUCUAUCUCUUUCAUUGACCCCAUGACUUGUAUUCCCAUGUACUAUUUUAGUAGGUAAAUCAUGCUUCGGAACAUGCCAAAAAAGUCUACUUCUUUUGCCUAAAUUCAAGAUACACUAGUUUUCUAGUUUUGUGUUAUAAUUUUAAGAAUAGUCCACAUGGCACAUACAAAUGAACUAUAAGAGUUGUUUUGCAAAAUAACACGUGGAUUCAAACAUCUUAGCUAAUGCAAUUACGUAACCCAUCUGGGUCCUUUAAUCCUUAUUUUCAAACUUGAAGUUAAAAAACAUAUAGCAUAUCGACCCCAACAUGUGAUUAAAGUGCAGACAAAUUACCAAAAAAGGACCGGGGUCUCAAUCCUUGUGUAUUUGAACAACUUUUUGCUUGAAUCCAAGAGGCAAGUCAGAAUUUGUAUUAUUGCUAGGACUAAUUGAUAGAAGUAGAUGGUCUAUUUUUUCACUUAUUGUUGUACCCUGCAUUGAAAUGGUGUUCUCAUUUAUGCAUCCCUACACUCGUUUCUCCAAGUGACUAUGUUAUUAUUGUGUUCACAAUCUAGAAUAAUUGUUGUUUCUUUCUUAUUACUUACUUAUGCCUUAGUUUUCCAUUUUGACUUUUGAAAUCAUCGCUGGCUAAUUUUAUUAAUCUUCAUCAUUGAUUGAUGCUUGUAAUCAUCUUCGGUAAUAUAUGAAGCAUACUAAUACUUAUGUUAUUGAUCGAUAUUCUCCAGUAUUAUAGGGGCACAUUCUGUCUAUAAUUGAUUCAAUCAUUGUUCUAUCUUGACUUCAAUGCUUUAGAUGAAAUUUAUGUUAUAUCUCUGUUGAUGCCCUUCUUGUUUGGUAUGAUGGUCCAUUGCUUAAUAUUUGUAUCUUUCUCUUAUGUGGAUCGCUGGCUUUAAUGGCUUGUUAUCAUUGCUAUAGUUGGCUUAAUCAACCUAUUAAUAGAACUAAUGUAUAAUCAACUCAGCUCGUUGUCUUUGAUCUCUGUCUUUUAUAAUAAAUAUGAACACUUCUUAUUUAUACUGCUUUUAUGGAGUUCUUGGGUCGCUGUAUUAUCAUAGUCAUUUGUUGUUUUCUAGGUCAAAGAUGGGGAUAUGACACAUUGUAGUUGUGUUAGACCUCUACUUGUUGUUAUCAAAUUGCUAAAUGUUCAAUUAUCCAAUUACACUGUAAGCAUGGAACUUAGAAGAUUUACAAGAAACUUUGCUACUUCUUUGAAUGUGUCUCCCACUCAAGUGGUUCCUGUAGCAAGAUGGGGUGGAAAUAUUAUUGUCAAAAAUGUGGAUGCCCCUGUCCAUAUUUGUCAAAAAAUGUGGCUACUUGGGUUUCAUUUAUGACCAUAUUUGUAUGGUUUCUCCUUGGCGAGAGAAAGAAUAUGCCAAUUGAAGAAAACGACAUUGGUUGUGUAAGAAGUAUGUCAGAGAUGUUGAUUUAAGUGAUGAUGAAGCAGAUGAUGCCUAUCCCAAACAUGAAAGUGGGUGGUUUUACAUUAGGAUCAACUAUAAUUUUUCUUCUAAUAGUUUGCCUUUCUUAAUUCCAUGGUUUCAGCUGCAUAACCUUCUAGUUGUACUGAGCCAAAGCCCCAUCCAGGAUUGUAAGCUACUAAAAAUUCCACAAUCAGCCAUGCUGCAAAAAAUGGAUUGUAAGCUGCUAAAAAUGUCUCUAUCCAGUCAUGUGAAGUUUCGUUUUAUUGUGCUCAUCUAUACUUGUCAAAAAUGUGGAUGCCCCUAUCCACCGUGCAUGGAGUUAGUAGUAUUGAAGGAUUUGGCUUGUGGCCAUAAGGCAACUAUGCGUUGCUGUGAAGACCCUGCUACCUUCUCUUGUAAAGAAGCUUGUUGUGAAGACUUUGCUACCAUUUCCUGUAUCCAAUAUCCUCUAGAGAAACACCACAUCAUUAUGUAAUAUACAGAACAUUGAAAAUAAAUAAAAUUAAUAGGG
This is a long non-coding RNA of Cryptomeria japonica (Japanese cedar), 10307 nucleotides long. RefSeq lists it as uncharacterized. NCBI's taxonomy places the organism in Eukaryota, Viridiplantae, Streptophyta, Pinopsida, Cupressales, Cupressaceae. The transcript is spliced from 2 exons. The record is from RefSeq and is a predicted model, not a curated record.